RNAcentral lists this non-coding RNA (654 nucleotides) under Pan troglodytes (chimpanzee). The record is from RNAcentral. Lineage: Eukaryota; Metazoa; Chordata; Mammalia; Primates; Hominidae.
GAUUCUUCCCAAUUCUACCGCCACCAUUCUGGUUCAAGCUACCUGAUGUCACCACCAUUCAGUGCAGAAAUGAUGGGCAAUCACCAAAGCUCAACUUACUAAAGCAAUUAUACUGGCUAACUUAUCCAGGUCCAGCUUUGACUUUACCUGGUUUUUUAUAGAAUGCUACAACUCCCUCUAGAAGCUUCUCUUGAUAAGGUAAAACAUGCACAGAGCAAAUUUCGGUUGUAUCCUAGAAAUGAUAGCCAUAUUCAGGAUACUGGUUACACCUGACGAAACAUCUCCAUGAAAGUUAAGCAUACACAGGAUCUCACUUUGUUACCCAGGCUAGAUAGAGUGCAAUGGUGUGACCACAGCUCACUGAAGCCUCAACCUCCUGAGCUCACUUUUAAGCAAUCCUCUCACUUCGGCCUCCUGAGUAGCUGGGCCUACAGGCAUGUACCAACACUCCCAGCAAGUUUUUCUUAUUUUUUGUGAAGACAGAGUCUUGCAGUAUUGCCCAAGCUGGACUUGAACUCCUGGCCUCAAGCAAUCCUCCCAUCUAGGCCUCCCAAAGUGCUAGGAUUACAGGCAUGAGCCACUGUGCCAAGCAACACUUGCAGUUUUUAAGUGAAAAUGAUCCUGUAAAUAUACAUAUGAAUAAAAUCUAGAAAG